Molecule: long non-coding RNA, 2098 nt
Organism: Dama dama (fallow deer)
Lineage: Eukaryota; Metazoa; Chordata; Mammalia; Artiodactyla; Cervidae
Exons: 5
Source: RefSeq, a predicted model, not a curated record
GGACUGGGAAAUGGUCCUGAACAGGGUGUUUGUAUUUCUGAUGCCUGAUGAAACGGAGGCUGAGAGAAAUUAAGCAGCUUGCCUAAGUCAUACUACUAGGAAAGGACCAGCCUUUUCACAUGCUUUGAAGAGCAUCAAAAGGUCCCAGUGAGAAGGACAGAAGCCCCCAGUUUAGACUACUUUUGAAAACUACUCCUGGCGUUGGAGACUGUCAGACAGACACUUUGGUAUUGUCAGGGUUCCAUGCACUAAUUUGAAUUCAUCAAAGCCAGUUGUGGCUUCCCAGAUGGCGCUAGUGGUAAAGAACCCACCUGCCAAUGUGUGAAACGUAAGAGAUGCUGGUUCCUCCCUGGUUGAAAGGAUACCCUGGAGAAGGAAAUGGCAACCUAAUCCAGUAUUCGCGCUUGGAGAAUCCCAUGGACAGAGGAGCCUGGUGGGCUACCGCCCAUAGGGUUGCAAAGAGUCGGACACAACUGAAGCAGCUUAGCAUAGGAGCCAGUUGUGGACCUAACUCAUCAGGCUCGGGGGCAGUGGUUUCAUCAAUGUCUUGCCCUUGCUGACCCUCCCCCCAGGCAGCUGAUAACAUUCCAGAUUGUGGUUGCUCAAUCCAUCUGGACAUUGUAGGGCAGAUCCCUGCUAUGGCACAGUCAUCUGCAGUGAACACAGAAGAGGCCAAGCAUAGCAGGAGCCCAACUCAGUGAAGCUCCUCGGUAGAAGCGAAACGAAGAAAACCCAGAGCAAGGGAAGUGACAAGAGGCCCAUCAUGCUGGAAACCAGGACAGUGAAAAACGAACUCAGCAGAAAGCUCACACGGCUCAGUCUCAGAUUCCAGAAGACCUCCGGUUAAGGUCAAGCUACAGCAUGCAGUGCCAGUUCAACAAAGAUAUAAAACUACAGCUGACCACGGAAAAUAUCAUUCACCCUUAGAUGGACACUGCUAUAAGGACUCUGAGGCUUGAGACUAGCAAGAGGGGGAGGCCCAAUACCCCUCGCUGUCCCAGUUCAGCAGGAAGUAGCCAGAAAGACCUUGACGCCCCUAUUCCCAAAGAAUUGGGCCUCCCAUCUCUUGAGGGGGGAAUGUUAGGUAGUUAGAAUAGGGAAAAGGAGUCCAAAAUGGUGGUGGCUAAAAGACAAGGAAGGGAAAAGCCUGCGAAAAUAGAACAGAGGAAGGUCAAAGGAAGGUCCGAGGAUUGGAAUGAGGACUUCUGGUAGAACAGUACUCCUGCCUAAACCCAAUUUGCAUAGGGCAGGCCCAGGGGGGAGAAAAAAACAUAUAAAAAGAGGAGCCAAAGGGCUCGCUCUCUCUCUCUCUCUCUCUCUCUCCCUCUCUCCCUCUCUCCCUCUCUCCCUCUCUCCCUCUCUCCCUCUCUCCCUCUCUCCCUCUCUCUCUCUCUCUCUCUCUCUCUCUCUCUCCCUCUCUCCCUCUCUCCCGCGCACUGAGGCGCUCUUCUCUUUGCGUCUUUGGAUUGAUGUGCCUUCACGCCUCAAAGAUGGAUUGGCCUAUCUUCUAAAUAAAAUAGAGCUGUAACACUGAACUGUAACACUGAUUUGUCUAAGAGCUAUAACAUGGUCCGUUCGAGACCUGAGAGCUAUAACACGGUCUGUCCAAGGCCCGAGAUCUGUGACCUGCCGAGGGGGUUUAAUGUCCAUCACUCCAAAUCCUUGGUGUGACAAGACAAGAGCUGAGGAGCAUACACUCGCCUGACAAAGCCAACUACUUUUCCUUCACUGUAGAAUGAGGUCAGUGAAACAAGCAACGGUGAUUCCAUUUAUUCUUUCAUUCAUUCCACACAUACUUACUGAGCAGCUCCUACCUAAGCACUUCUUAAAUCAAAUCUAUGAUAAAUUCUGGAAGUAAAUUAGGAGAAAAAGUUGACCAGUUUCCAGGAAGACAUUUAAAGUUAGAAAGAGGGAUGUUGGUGUUUGAGCCAGUUUGUACCAACCGCUUAGAGCUGAUUCUGUUCAUCUCUUAUCUCUGAAUUCAGUGACCUUGCAGCAGCUUGAAAUUGGAUGUGGUGGAAGUAUUUACACCAUGGAAAUUGGUACAUGCUAUAAAUCAUGGUUUGUUUGUUUUUUUCCCCCUGCUGCUGCUGCUGCU